RNAcentral lists this microRNA precursor (96 nucleotides) under Glycine max (soybean). Its description in RNAcentral is "miR4385 stem-loop (gma-MIR4385)". Lineage: Eukaryota; Viridiplantae; Streptophyta; Magnoliopsida; Fabales; Fabaceae. The record is from miRBase by way of RNAcentral.
UUGUAAAUAUAAUCGAUGUAGAAAAGUGAUUGGUGACAUUGAUUAUAACCAGAAUCAAUGUAGAAAAUUAUUUUUCUACAUCAAUUUUAAUUAUAA